Molecule: long non-coding RNA, 1396 nt
Filed under: Marmota monax (woodchuck)
Lineage: Eukaryota; Metazoa; Chordata; Mammalia; Rodentia; Sciuridae
Source: RNAcentral
GGUGGCACAUGCCUAUAAUCCCAGUCGCUUAGAGGCUGAGGUGGGAGAAUCACAGGUUUUGAAGCCAGUUCAAAACCUGUGAUUUGUGAAGCCAGUCUCAACAAUUUAGUGAGACUGUAAGCAAGACUGAAAGUGAGACCUGGUCUAAAAAAAAAAAAAGGCUGGAGGUAUGGCUCAGUGGUUAAGCACCCCUGAGUUCAAUCCCUGGUGCGCCCCCCUCCAAAAAAAAAUCAUCUUCUGUAAGGAGAGGCACAGAGGUUUAUUUAGGAAAGCAAGGAAUACACUCUCAAGGGAGAAUGCAGGCAGCUAUCUCCAUCUCGUCUCUCUGCAGAGUGAGAGAUGUGCUUUCCGGUUUUGCUUUUAAAGAAAAUUUGGUGAGGGGUGGGUAUGGGAAGGUAUGUAAUGACAUCAGCCCAGUGACCUCAAGAGGGGUUCUGGUGGUCUGGUCAUUCUCAGGAUCUUCAGGCUGUCACGGUCUCCAUUAUCUGAUCAAUAGAUAAUGCUGGAAAGUCCCCCAAAUUAUAGGUUUCCUAAAAUGUCAUAUGUCUCUUUACUUAAUCUACUUAUUAACAGUGCACAAGGUAGGUGGACAGAUUUCCCAGAAAUUUGGGAAUGACAGGCCUGGGAGAGAAAUUGGCUUGGAGAGGGACAGGCCUAGAAAAGCAAGUGGAACUUUUAUAUUUCCUAUUGUUCCUUUAUGUCUCUACCUGUUUUCUAUUCCUUCUACCCUACUUCAAGAGGAAGGCUCUGUCCGUGAAGCUUCUAGUGGGAGAAAAUGAAUGAUAAACCGUGAUGGGUCCGAUGGUGUCGAGCGCUAUGGAGAGUUCGGCAGCAGGGUACAGAGACUAGGGAUGAACGGAGCUGGGAUGUGGCAGGGCUGGGGCAUGGUGCUCUCCAUGAUCAGAGGAGGUCCAUCUCAUAAAGUGACACCUGAACAGACAUCUGGAGAAGUCACAUAGGUAUCUAGGUCACAUAGGUGUCAUAGGGGAAGAGUACUUUAUACAAAGGGAAGGACAAGUGCCCAGCCUUGACAUAGGAGGGCACCCUGUGUGGUUCAAGGAAAGAGAAAGGCUGUGGAGGCUGAAACAGCUGGACAAAGGGAAAGAAGCAAAAGGCAAGAUUAGAGACAAAUCAGGCAGGGUCUUGUAGGUCAUUAUUAGAACCCUAACCUCUACUUGGAGUGAAGUGUCGAGUUCCUGCAGCAUUUUGACCAGAAGAAUGAUGCGAUUUGACUUAAACUUUGAAAGGAUCACUUUGCCUGCUGGGUGGAGAAGUAGAGGAGAAGAGCAAGGAGGGAAACAGAGAGCAGGGAGGAGACUCCUGCAAUACUCCAGGCAAGAGAAGAUGGUGGCUUGGACCAGGCUGGCAGCAGUGGAGGUGGUAAGUAUGGACAUCU